CCAGAUGAGCACUUUCUUAGAAGAUUUGUACUAUUCACCAUUGGGUACAUCCUAUGCCCCACCACCAAGCCAAUAGUUAGUUCUCAGUACCUAGCCCUUUUGAAAGACAUUGACAACAUUAAGAACAUCAACUGGGCUAGAAUCACAAGAGAUUACUUAAUCAAUUGUCUGAAUGAAUUGAAGGGAGGAAGGAGAAAUCUAGAAGGGAAUGUACCAUUGCUUCAGGUAUGAAAGUAUCCAUUACACGUCUCCAUUUGCAAUCCACAUUCAGUGAUUCUUGCUCUCUUUUUUUUUCAGUUUUGGGCAUGGGAACAUGUACACAUUAACGAUCCAAUGUGCACACUGACAUACGUUGGAAGGCCACCGCCGCUAAUGGCCUAUUGGAAUGAAAUGAAUGUAAUGACAUGGCUAAAGUACGACAAGAAAUGUAUUCUUGAAACAGGGACUGUAAGUUACAACUCUUUGCAACAUUAAAUAUUAGUUUUAACAUGUUAAUUACCUACUAUUAUAUACUAUUCAUAUUACAUUACAGGUUGUGGUUGUCAUAGAUGAUCCUGAAGAGAUCAAAGGGGACAUUGUCCCAGUACAAUGUGAAGGCCAAAUUGACGAAAAAAAAAUUGAUGGUUUCAUGGAAGAUAACACUGUGGAUGUCAUACACAUCGUACCUGAGCCUGAAGAGAUCAAAGGGGACAAUGUGUCAGAAGACUGUCAAGGCGCCACUGCCGAAAACAAUAAUGGUGAUUUCAUCAAAGACGACACUCCCACCAAUGAAGAACCGGAUUAUAUGUUCAAAGCAACUAAAGAAAGAACGGCUGCAAACGGAUUCAACUCACAUGGAAGAGGCGAUGAUGAUGAGAGUCCACACCAUGUUUACAUAGAAGACGAUGUUAAUGUUCCAUCAAGUCCUGAAAAUUUCAAAUAUCCAGAGGUAAUAGCCAAUGUAUGAAGUUUAAACAGUUCAACUCAAACCUUUAUUAAAUCUCUCUGUUGAAGGCAUCAAGUC
RNAcentral lists this long non-coding RNA (1003 nucleotides) under Oryza sativa (Asian cultivated rice). Its description in RNAcentral is "long non-coding RNA (OSAT_LNC000352)". The record is from RNAcentral. Lineage: Eukaryota; Viridiplantae; Streptophyta; Magnoliopsida; Poales; Poaceae.